This 497-nucleotide ribosomal RNA is filed under the name uncultured bacterium. Its description in RNAcentral is "bacterial SSU rRNA". It matches the Rfam family "Bacterial small subunit ribosomal RNA", at positions 28 to 506 of the family's 1533-position model. The record is from RNAcentral.
GAUGAACGCUGGCGGCGUGCCUAAUACAUGCAAGUCGAGCGAACAGACGAGGAGCUUGCUCCUCUGACGUUAGCGGCGGACGGGUGAGUAACACGUGGAUAACCUACCUAUAAGACUGGGAUAACUUCGGGAAACCGGAGCUAAUACCGGAUAAUAUAUUGAACCGCAUGGUUCAAUAGUGAAAGACGGUUUUGCUGUCACUUAUAGAUGGAUCCGCGCCGCAUUAGCUAGUUGGUAAGGUAACGGCUUACCAAGGCAACGAUGCGUAGCCGACCUGAGAGGGUGAUCGGCCACACUGGAACUGAGACACGGUCCAGACUCCUACGGGAGGCAGCAGUAGGGAAUCUUCCGCAAUGGGCGAAAGCCUGACGGAGCAACGCCGCGUGAGUGAUGAAGGUCUUCGGAUCGUAAAACUCUGUUAUUAGGGAAGAACAAAUGUGUAAGUAACUAUAGCACGUCUUGACGGUACCUAAUCAGAAAGCCACGGCUAACUACGU